This 491-nucleotide ribosomal RNA is filed under the name uncultured bacterium. Its description in RNAcentral is "bacterial SSU rRNA". It matches the Rfam family "Bacterial small subunit ribosomal RNA", at positions 28 to 507 of the family's 1533-position model. The record is from RNAcentral.
GAUGAACGCUAGCUACAGGCUUAACACAUGCAAGUCGAGGGGCAGCAUGAACUUAGCUUGCUAAGUUUGAUGGCGACCGGCGCACGGGUGAGUAACACGUAUCCAACCUGCCGAUGACUCGGGGAUAGCCUUUCGAAAGAAAGAUUAAUACCCGAUGGCAUAGUUCUUCCGCAUGGUAGAACUAUUAAAGGAUUUCGGUCAUCGAUGGGGAUGCGUUCCAUUAGGUUGUUGGCGGGGUAACGGCCCACCAAGCCUUCGAUGGAUAGGGGUUCUGAGAGGAAGGUCCCCCACAUUGGAACUGAGACACGGUCCAAAACUCCUACGGGAGGCAGCAGUGAGGAAUAUUGGUCAAAUGGACGAGAGUCUGAACCAGCCAAGUAGCGUGAAGGAUGACUGCCCUAUGGGUUGUAAACUUCUUUUAUACGGGAAUAAAGUGAGGCACGCGUGCCUUUUUGUAUGUACCGUAUGAAUAAGGAUCGGCUAACUCCGUG